This 253-nucleotide ribosomal RNA is filed under the name uncultured prokaryote. Its description in RNAcentral is "partial 16S ribosomal RNA". It matches the Rfam family "Bacterial small subunit ribosomal RNA", at positions 525 to 777 of the family's 1533-position model. The record is from RNAcentral.
ACAGAGGGUGCGAGCGUUGUCCGGAAUCACUGGGCGUAAAGGGCGCGUAGGCGGCCUGAUAAGUCGGGGGUGAAAUCCUGUGGCUCAACCGCAGGGCUGCCUCCGAGACUGUCGGGCUCGAGCACAGUAGAGGCAGGUGGAAUUCCCGGUGUAGCGGUGGAAUGCGUAGAGAUCGGGAAGAACAUCGGUGGCGAAGGCGGCCUGCUGGGCUGUUGCUGACGCUGAGGCGCGACAGCGUGGGGAGCAAACAGGA